Coffea arabica (coffee) is the source of this 320-nucleotide non-coding RNA. The record is from RefSeq and is a predicted model, not a curated record. Lineage: Eukaryota; Viridiplantae; Streptophyta; Magnoliopsida; Gentianales; Rubiaceae.
CGGCCAACUUGUUCCGAAACACGUAGCACGAUUGCCCAAGGAUCUAGACGGUUGAUCAAUCGUUUGGAGUGCGGAACCUAGAACCAAGAUGGACGACUCAACUUGAUUAAAGGCGGUAGAACAGCGACUCUAAUUGAGAUGAGGAAGAGUAGAACUCUGGCAGGAAGCUCGAAGUUACAUCUCAAUACAUAUUACUAUUUGAUGUCUUCUCGUUGUGCUUAACUUUGGAAUGUAUUAUUUUGAGAUGUAAAAUUUUUAUUGACCAAGUUAUUUUUGACAAGUUUGAGAUAACAAGUUUUUAAAUAUUUUACCUUUUGAGA